GUUAAAACACUAACAAAGCUUCUACUUGCUUCUCAAAGCUUUGAUGGUGUAGGCGAAGUCCGCAUGUGUUUUUGGCUUUGUAUCUUCUAACAAGGAAACACUACUUCGGCUUUGAA
Molecule: small RNA, 116 nt
Filed under: Arabidopsis thaliana (thale cress)
Lineage: Eukaryota; Viridiplantae; Streptophyta; Magnoliopsida; Brassicales; Brassicaceae
Description: ATSL267310
Source: RNAcentral